RNAcentral lists this ribosomal RNA (505 nucleotides) under uncultured bacterium. Its description in RNAcentral is "partial 16S ribosomal RNA". It matches the Rfam family "Bacterial small subunit ribosomal RNA", at positions 29 to 523 of the family's 1533-position model. The record is from RNAcentral.
GUGAACGCUGGCGGUAGGCCUAACACAUGCAAGUCGAACGGCAGCACAGAGGAGCUUGCUCCUUGGGUGGCGAGUGGCGGACGGGUGAGGAAUACAUCGGAAUCUACUCUUUCGUGGGGGAUAACGUAGGGAAACUUACGCUAAUACCGCAUACGACCUUCGGGUGAAAGCAGGGGAUCGCAAGACCUUGCGCGAUUGAAUGAGCCGAUGUCGGAUUAGCUAGUUGGCGGGGUAAAGGCCCACCAAGGCGACGAUCCGUAGCUGGUCUGAGAGGAUGAUCAGCCACACUGGAACUGAGACACGGUCCAGACUCCUACGGGAGGCAGCAGUGGGGAAUAUUGGACAAUGGGCGCAAGCCUGAUCCAGCCAUACCGCGUGGGUGAAGAAGGCCUUCGGGUUGUAAAGCCCUUUUGUUGGGAAAAAAAAGCACACGGUUAAUACCCGAGUGUUCUGACGGUACCCAAAGAAUAAGCACCGGCUAACUUCGUGCCAGCCGCCGCCGUAA